Molecule: long non-coding RNA, 491 nt
Filed under: Rosa chinensis
Lineage: Eukaryota; Viridiplantae; Streptophyta; Magnoliopsida; Rosales; Rosaceae
Description: sRNA RchiOBHm_Chr2g0157171
Source: RNAcentral
CGACGACGCCACCUUAUGCCAUUUGUUCAGCGAAACGUUGGACGGCGAGGCAAUGAACUGGUUCUUUGAAUGUCCGCCAGGAUCUGUCGGCUCAUUCUAUGCACUGUCGCACGCUUUCCUCUCCCGCUUCAUCUUAUUGUCCGCCGGACAUCACAACACAAGUCAGCUAUUCGGCGUUAAGCAAGGGGAGAACGAAUCACUGAAGGCCUUCGUCACAAGGUGGCGGGCGACAGCAUCUCAGUGCCGCGACCUAGACAAAACUAUGGCAUCGGCAGCCUUCAGGAAGGGACUCCUCAAGGGACCGUUCCUCUAUCACCUCAAUUACAAUCAUCCCAAUGCUACGUACGACCAUGUCAUGAGUGAGGCGGUCAUUCACGCCCAGGCGGAAUUCAUCACAUAUGGAGAGACCCCACCACCAGCAACGCCAACAAGGUCAACACAACCAUCUUCCAGUCACCAGGAAACCGCUAACAAGACCCCCUCAGCACCGC